This 538-nucleotide long non-coding RNA is filed under the name Arabidopsis lyrata. RNAcentral's name for it is "long non-coding RNA (ALYR_LNC002506)". The record is from RNAcentral. Lineage: Eukaryota; Viridiplantae; Streptophyta; Magnoliopsida; Brassicales; Brassicaceae.
ACUAAUCACAGGUCCCAGGUCUGCAUCUGGUUCUGACCCACAUGUGACUUUAAGGGCCUUCGCUCGCUCAACGAGUUUAUCCUCCCUGGUUAGUAUUAGACAAGUAAAGCUAAUCUUUCAAUACUUUCAAAUGAAAAUCAACAGGUCUCACACAGAUUCUUCAGUUACUUUUAAUAUUAGGACACCACAGUAGUCAAUCCAAAUUUAUAAAAGAAAAAAGUGUUAUCUUAACAAUCCUAUAUAUGGUUCAGGCACCCUAAACAUGUGGACUUUGUAAACCGUAGUCCGUUGGAGAGAAAAAGAUUACAGGCAAAUGUGUUUAUCACAGAAAUAUAAGAUAUUCGAGAAGGUGACACCUCAAAUACUUGGGAGUAAUUUGAAUAAAUAAAGUUAGCAGUACCAUGAUUUUGAAUCCCCAACAAAAACCACUGUACUCAGUGCCAUGCAUCUCUGGCCAGCGGCACCAAACCCAGCAGCCAGUAGCGCAUUUAAAGUUGCAUCGACGUUGGCAUCAGGUAAGACAAGUCCAUGAUUUUUC